CAGCAUGUUUCCAAGGGCUAUGGCUGGUUGCAGCCAUGGGAUCUCCAACUGCAUGUUAGAGCAACCUGAAGAGACGGACAGCUCAGUUCAGCUCAGGACCUGCAGCUGCCACUCACCUUUCCUAUAAUG
Jaculus jaculus (lesser Egyptian jerboa) is the source of this 129-nucleotide small nucleolar RNA. The record is from Ensembl. Lineage: Eukaryota; Metazoa; Chordata; Mammalia; Rodentia; Dipodidae.